UCCAACCAGGACCAGGGCA
RNAcentral lists this non-coding RNA (19 nucleotides) under Mus musculus (house mouse). Lineage: Eukaryota; Metazoa; Chordata; Mammalia; Rodentia; Muridae. The record is from RNAcentral.